Molecule: non-coding RNA, 24 nt
Filed under: Arabidopsis thaliana (thale cress)
Lineage: Eukaryota; Viridiplantae; Streptophyta; Magnoliopsida; Brassicales; Brassicaceae
Source: RNAcentral
AACCCCUACAGGAACUGCCACAGC